GUGGAUGUGGCUCAGUGGUAGAGUGCAUGCCUGGCAUGCAUGAAGCACUGGGCUCGAUCCCCAACACCACA
RNAcentral lists this transfer RNA (71 nucleotides) under Marmota monax (woodchuck). It matches the Rfam family "tRNA". From Rfam's summary of the family: Transfer RNA (tRNA) molecules are approximately 80 nucleotides in length. Their secondary structure includes four short double-helical elements and three loops (D, anti-codon, and T loops). Further hydrogen bonds mediate the characteristic L-shaped molecular structure. tRNAs have two regions of fundamental functional importance: the anti-codon, which is responsible for specific mRNA codon recognition, and the 3' end, to which the tRNAs corresponding amino acid is attached (by aminoacyl-tRNA synthetases). tRNAs cope with the degeneracy of the genetic code in two manners: having more than one tRNA (with a specific anti-codon) for a particular amino acid; and 'wobble' base-pairing, i.e. permitting non-standard base-pairing at the 3rd anti-codon position. Lineage: Eukaryota; Metazoa; Chordata; Mammalia; Rodentia; Sciuridae. The record is from Rfam by way of RNAcentral.